UCCGACGGGGGCUCUCUUUUUUCGGCCUUACUGGGCGUAAAGGGCGCGUAGGCUGUGCUGUAAGUCAGGCGUGAAAUCCCCGGGCUCAACCUGGGAAUUGCGCAUGAUACUGCGGCGCUUGAAGACGGGAGAGGAUGGCGGAAUUCCCAGUGUAGAGGUGAAAUUCGUAGAUAUUGGGAAGAACACCGGUGGCGAAGGCGGCCAUCUGGCCCGUAAUUGACGCUGAGGCGCGAAAGCGUGGGGAGCAAACAGG
Molecule: ribosomal RNA, 253 nt
Filed under: uncultured bacterium
Lineage: Bacteria
Description: partial 16S ribosomal RNA
Rfam family: Bacterial small subunit ribosomal RNA
Source: RNAcentral